CUACGUGCCAGCAGCCGCGGUAAUACGGAGGAUGCGAGCGUUAUCCGGAUUUAUUGGGUUUAAAGGGUGCGUAGGUUGUUCGGUAAGUCAGCGGUGAAACCUGAGCGCUCAACGUUCAGCCUGCCGUUGAAACUGGCGGACUUGAGUGCACGCAACGUAUGCGGAAUUCAUGGUGUAGCGGUGAAAUGCUUAGAUAUCAUGACGAACUCCGAUUGCGAAGGCAGCGUACGGGAGUGUUACUGACGCUUAAGCUCGAAGGUGCGGGUAUCGAACAGGAUUAGAUACCCUGGUAGUCCGCACGGUAAACGAUGGAUGCCCGCUGUUAGCGCCUGGCGUUAGCGGCUAAGCGAAAGCAUUAAGCAUCCCACCUGGGGAGUACGCCGGCAACGGUGAAACUCAAAGGAAUUGACGGGGGCCCGCACAAGCGGAGGAACAUGUGGUUUAAUUCGAUGAUACGCGAGGAACCUUACCCGGGCUUGAAUUGCAGACGCAGGAUACAGAGAU
Molecule: ribosomal RNA, 504 nt
Filed under: uncultured bacterium
Lineage: Bacteria
Description: bacterial SSU rRNA
Rfam family: Bacterial small subunit ribosomal RNA
Source: RNAcentral